AAAUACGGCCAUACCAACCUGGCUAUGCCCUAUUUCGUCUGAUCUCGGAAGCUAAGCAGGUUUGGGCCUUGGUUAGUACUUGGAUGGGAGACGCCUGGGAAUACCAGGUGCUUUAAGCU
This 119-nucleotide ribosomal RNA is filed under the name Carassius auratus (goldfish). The record is from RNAcentral. Lineage: Eukaryota; Metazoa; Chordata; Actinopteri; Cypriniformes; Cyprinidae.